UACGAAGGGGGCUAGCGUUGUUCGGAAUUACUGGGCGUAAAGGGCGCGUAGGCGGCCGGCUAAGUUAGAUGUGAAAGUCCUGGGCUCAGCCUGGGGACUGCAUUUAAUACUGGUUGGCUUGAAUUCGGGAGAGGAUAGCGGAAUUCCCAGUGUAGAGGUGAAAUUCGUAGAUAUUGGGAAGAACACCGGUGGCGAAGGCGGCUAUCUGGACCGACAUUGACGCUGAGGCGCGAAAGCGUGGGGAGCAAACAGG
Molecule: ribosomal RNA, 253 nt
Filed under: uncultured bacterium
Lineage: Bacteria
Description: partial 16S ribosomal RNA
Rfam family: Bacterial small subunit ribosomal RNA
Source: RNAcentral